UACGUAGGUGGCAAGCGUUGUUCGGAAUUAUUGGGCGUAAAGAGCUCGUAGGCGGCUCGUUGCGUCGGCUGUGAAAACCCGCAGCUCAACUGUGGGCUUGCAGCCGAUACGGGCGGGCUGGAGUUCGGUAGGGGAGACUGGAAUUCCUGGUGUAGCGGUGAAAUGCGCAGAUAUCAGGAGGAACACCGGUGGCGAAGGCGGGUCUCUGGGCAGUAACUGACGCUGAGGAGCGAAAGCGUGGGGAGCGAACAGG
Molecule: ribosomal RNA, 253 nt
Filed under: uncultured bacterium
Lineage: Bacteria
Description: partial 16S ribosomal RNA
Rfam family: Bacterial small subunit ribosomal RNA
Source: RNAcentral